This 468-nucleotide ribosomal RNA is filed under the name uncultured bacterium. RNAcentral's name for it is "bacterial SSU rRNA". It matches the Rfam family "Bacterial small subunit ribosomal RNA", at positions 328 to 792 of the family's 1533-position model. The record is from RNAcentral.
AUUCCAGACUCCUACGGGAGGCAGCAGUGAGGAAUAUUGGUCAAUGGGCGGAAGCCUGAACCAGCCAAGUCGCGUGAGGGAAGAAGGCCCUGCGGGUCGCAGACCUCUUUGGACGGGGAGCAAGGCCGCCGACGUGUCGGCGGAAGGAGAGUACCCGUAGAACAAGCAUCGGCUAACUCCGUGCCAGCAGCCGCGGUAAUACGGAGGAUGCGAGCGUUAUCCGGAUUUAUUGGGUUUAAAGGGUGCGCAGGCGGAAGCGGCAAGCCAGCGGUAAAAUUGCGGGGCUCAACCUCGCCGAGCCGUUGAAACUGCUCUUCUAGAGUGGGCGAGAAGUAUGCGGAAUGCGUGGUGUAGCGGUGAAAUGCAUAGAUAUCACGCAGAACUCCGAUUGCGAAGGCAGCGUACCGGCGCCCAACUGACGCUGAAGCACGAAGGCGUGGGUAUCGAACAGGAUUAGAUACCCGUGUA